UUUUUGUGAAAUAAAAUUAAAAUUCAUGAAUUUUUAGUAAUAAAUUAAAGUUAUAGGACAAAAGUGAAACACAGAAUAAAAUUCCAGGACGAACUAGAAAAAUUACCUCAAAACUUGGAUUGAAGUUUGCUUGAUAUCUAGUCGUGGGCUCUCGUAGUUCCUCUCUUUAGAAACUUCAAUGGCUUGUUGUUGCUUGGGAUUUGGAUUGAUCCUAGCAACAAAUAUUGCACCAAGAUCGGUGCCUAAUGCAUUUCAUUUGGAAAGCCAAGUUUGCUG
RNAcentral lists this unclassified non-coding RNA (276 nucleotides) under Hevea brasiliensis (rubber tree). The record is from RNAcentral. Lineage: Eukaryota; Viridiplantae; Streptophyta; Magnoliopsida; Malpighiales; Euphorbiaceae.